This 162-nucleotide ribosomal RNA is filed under the name Carallia brachiata. Its description in RNAcentral is "5.8S ribosomal RNA". It matches the Rfam family "5.8S ribosomal RNA". Rfam says of the family: 5.8S ribosomal RNA (5.8S rRNA) is a component of the large subunit of the eukaryotic ribosome. Lineage: Eukaryota; Viridiplantae; Streptophyta; Magnoliopsida; Malpighiales; Rhizophoraceae. The record is from RNAcentral.
AACGACUCUCGGCAACGGAUAUCUCGGCUCUCGCAUCGAUGAAGAACGUAGCGAAAUGCGAUACUUGGUGUGAAUUGCAGAAUCCCGCGAACCAUCGAGUCUUUGAACGCAAGUUGCGCCCGAAGCCAUCUGGCCGAGGGCACGUCUGCCUGGGUGUCACAC